CGCGCUCGGCCAGGGCGCGGGUGGCGCGGUGUUGGAACCAUCGCACGAGGUCCAGGAUGCGAUGGCGCCGUGCGUCCGAUUCGUCCUCGUGCGAC
This 95-nucleotide transfer RNA is filed under the name Plantibacter cousiniae (nom. nud.). RNAcentral describes it as "Plantibacter cousiniae tRNA-Ser". The record is from RNAcentral. Lineage: Bacteria; Bacillati; Actinomycetota; Actinomycetes; Micrococcales; Microbacteriaceae.